GACGCUGGCUUUGGUCGCUGCCUCACCGACGCCCAACACGCCUUCGCCGGCAUCCACCCCUAUCAGCUUGCGGACGCGUUCGCGCACCUCCGCUCGGCCCUCCGAGGCUCCCUCUCUAUCGUCCGCCGCUACGUGCUCUCACCGUCGCCGCGAGUUCGCGUAGACUCUGCGCUGCGAGCUGCUGGGCUGGAAGACGCUGGCAAGCUCUCGUGGGUUCAGUUCGAGGAGUUUGAUGUCGAGCUAUUCAGGGAGGCCGUGCUCGCCGGCACGUCUGAGGCGGCUCCAGCCUCCGUGGUUCCGCCACCAUCUCCAGUCCCCGACCAACGACGGGGAGGUGUUGCGCCGGGGUGUCAUCAUGAAGGAUUCGGAGCUCAAGCGUGGGUGCACCACACGAGGUGUUCGAGGAAAUGCCAAAAAAAGAUAGGAGGAGGAAGAGGAAUGACAUGUGGGUCCCACCUGUCAUAA
RNAcentral lists this ribosomal RNA (465 nucleotides) under Triticum aestivum (bread wheat). RNAcentral describes it as "partial small subunit ribosomal RNA". Lineage: Eukaryota; Viridiplantae; Streptophyta; Magnoliopsida; Poales; Poaceae. The record is from RNAcentral.